UGCGCAGGCGGACUUUUAAGUCAGUGGUGAAAUCCCGAGGCUCAACCUCGGAACUGCCAUUGAUACUGGAAGGCUUGAAUUUGGUUGAAGUGGGCGGAAUGUAGCAUGUAGCGGUGAAAUGCUUAGAUAUGCUACAGAACACCGAUCGCGAAGGCAGCUCACUAAGCCAAUAUUGACGCUCAGGCACGAAAGCGUGGGGAGCAAACAGGAUUAGAUACCCUGGUAGUCC
Molecule: ribosomal RNA, 229 nt
Filed under: uncultured bacterium
Lineage: Bacteria
Description: partial 16S ribosomal RNA
Rfam family: Bacterial small subunit ribosomal RNA
Source: RNAcentral